GCCCAGCUAGCUCAGUUGGUAGAGCAUGAGACUCUUAAUCUCAGGGUUGUGGGUUCGAGCCCCAUGUUGGGUG
RNAcentral lists this transfer RNA (73 nucleotides) under Oryctolagus cuniculus (rabbit). Its description in RNAcentral is "tRNA-Lys (CTT) (tRNA-Lys-CTT-10-1)". It matches the Rfam family "tRNA". Rfam says of the family: Transfer RNA (tRNA) molecules are approximately 80 nucleotides in length. Lineage: Eukaryota; Metazoa; Chordata; Mammalia; Lagomorpha; Leporidae. The record is from Rfam by way of RNAcentral.